RNAcentral lists this ribosomal RNA (492 nucleotides) under uncultured bacterium. RNAcentral describes it as "partial 16S ribosomal RNA". It matches the Rfam family "Bacterial small subunit ribosomal RNA", at positions 29 to 507 of the family's 1533-position model. The record is from RNAcentral.
AGUGAACGCUGGCGGUAGGCCUAACACAUGCAAGUCGAACGGCAGCACAGUAAGAGCUUGCUCUUACGGGUGGCGAGUGGCGGGCGGGUGAGGAAUACAUCGGAAUCUACUUUUUCGUGGGGGAUAACGUAGGGAAACUUACGCUAAUACCGCAUACGACCUACGGGUGAAAGCAGGGGAUCUUCGGACCUUGCGCGAUUGAAUGAGCCGAUGUCGGAUUAGCUAGUUGGGGGGGUAAAGGCCCACCAAGGCGACGAUCCGUAGCUGGUCUGAGAGGAUGAUCAGCCACACUGGAACUGAGACACGGUCCAGACUCCUACGGGAGGCAGCAGUGGGGAAUAUUGGACAAUGGGCGCAAGCCUGAUCCAGCCAUACCGCGUGAGUGAAGAAGGCCUUCGGGUUGUAAAGCCCUUUUGUUGGGAAAGAAAAGCAGCAGGUUAAUACCCCGCUGUUCUGACGGUACCCAAAGAAUAAGCACCGGCUAACUUCGUG